UCCAACCUAACUCCAUCGCUCCAUCAGAUCGCAUGACGAGCGAUAGCAAGACCGCGGAAUAGUCACUGCAUCAGAUCGCUCGCAACGCCGCCCGCUUCCAUUGUGGCGUCCCUCCAGUCAAGCUGCGCCACCCGCUUUUGCUUCCACUCUCGCGUUGGCAUCACCUCCUUCCUUUGUAAUGCCACUGGUUUCCUCGCAGAACUUGCGACGACCACUACCCCCACCUUCUUCUUCCACCCUACCGCGCGCUAUUGUUCCACUACAUCACGACAUUAUCCUUCCUUUGCCCCGUCCCCUUCGUCGCUGACAGCUGCCGCCACUCGCAUGAUUAUUCCUUCCUGUGAAGUGGGGCAUUUAACUUUUCGCCACUCUUAUGAUUUAUGAUUGUUCAUAACAAAUUUGCUACUGGACCCACAUGUCAUAGACUCAUGAGUACUCACAUGACAUAGACAACGAGUGGCAAAUCUAUUUUGAUCACUCGUAAAAGUGAAAAAAAGUUAAAUUUCCCCCUGUGAAGCUGCCUUCAUGCUGUGG
This 534-nucleotide long non-coding RNA is filed under the name Oryza brachyantha (malo sina). RNAcentral describes it as "long non-coding RNA (OBRA_LNC002258)". Lineage: Eukaryota; Viridiplantae; Streptophyta; Magnoliopsida; Poales; Poaceae. The record is from RNAcentral.